AGUCGUACAGGUCUCCGUAGGUGAACCUGCGGAGGGAUCAUUACACAAAUAUGAAGGCGGGCUGGAACCUCUCGGGGUUACAGCCUUGCUGAAUUAUUCACCCUUGUCUUUUGCGUACUUCUUGUUUCCUUGGUGGGUUCGCCCACCACUAGGACAAACAUAAACCUUUUGUAAUUACAAUCAGCGUCAGUAACAAAUUAAUAAUUACAACUUUCAACAACGGAUCUCUUGGUUCUGGCAUCGAUGAAGAACGCAGCGAAAUGCGAUAAGUAGUGUGAAUUGCAGAAUUCAGUGAAUCAUCGAAUCUUUGAACGCACAUUGCGCCCUUUGGUAUUCCAAAGGGCAUGCCUGUUCGAGCGUCAUUUGUACCCUCAAGCUUUGCUUGGUGUUGGGCGUCUUGUCUCUAGCUUUGCUGGAGACUCGCCUUAAAGUAAUUGGCAGCCGGCCUACUGGUUUCGGAGCGCAGCACAAGUCGCACUCUCUAUCAGCAAAGGUCUAGCAUCCAUUAAGCCUUUUUUUCAACUUUUGACCUCGGAUCAGGUAGGGAUACCCGCUGAACU
RNAcentral lists this ribosomal RNA (560 nucleotides) under uncultured fungus. Its description in RNAcentral is "eukaryotic LSU rRNA". The stretch from base 209 to 362 matches the Rfam family "5.8S ribosomal RNA". Lineage: Eukaryota; Fungi. The record is from RNAcentral.